This 536-nucleotide ribosomal RNA is filed under the name uncultured bacterium. RNAcentral's name for it is "partial 16S ribosomal RNA". It matches the Rfam family "Bacterial small subunit ribosomal RNA", at positions 355 to 901 of the family's 1533-position model. The record is from RNAcentral.
UGGGGAAUAUUGCACAAUGGGCGAAAGCCUGAUGCAGCAACGCCGCGUGAGGGACGACGGCCUUCGGGUUGUAAACCUCUUUUAGCAAGGAAGAAGCGAAAGUGACGGUACUUGCAGAAAAAGCGCCGGCUAACUACGUGCCAGCAGCCGCGGUAAUACGUAGGGCGCAAGCGUUAUCCGGAAUUAUUGGGCGUAAAGAGCUCGUAGGCGGUUUGUCGCGUCUGCUGUGAAAACCCGAGGCUCAACCUCGGGCCUGCAGUGGGUACGGGCAGACUAGAGUGCGGUAGGGGAGAUUGGAACUCCUGGUGUAGCGGUGGAAUGCGCAGAUAUCAGGAAGAACACCGAUGGCGAAGGCAGAUCUCUGGGCCGUAACUGACGCUGAGGAGCGAAAGGGUGGGGAGCAAACAGGCUUAGAUACCCUGGUAGUCCACCCCGUAAACGUUGGGAACUAGUUGUGGGGUCCAUUCCACGGAUUCCGUGACGCAGCUAACGCAUUAAGUUCCCCGCCUGGGGAGUACGGCCGCAAGGCUAAAACU